Molecule: ribosomal RNA, 445 nt
Filed under: uncultured bacterium
Lineage: Bacteria
Description: partial 16S ribosomal RNA
Rfam family: Bacterial small subunit ribosomal RNA
Source: RNAcentral
GUGAGGAAUAUUGGUCAAUGGGCGGGAGCCUGAACCAGCCAAGUCGCGUGAAGGAAGAAGGAUCUAUGGUUCGUAAACUUCUUUUGCAGGGGAAUAAAGUGCAGGACGUGUCCUGUUUUGUAUGUACCCUGAGAAUAAGGAUCGGCUAACUCCGUGCCAGCAGCCGCGGUAAUACGGAGGAUCCGAGCGUUAUCCGGAUUUAUUGGGUUUAAAGGGUGCGUAGGUGGUUUGAUAAGUCAGCGGUGAAAGUUUGCAGCUUAACUGUAAAAAUGCCGAUGAAACUGUCUGACUUGAGUGUAAAUGAGGUAGGAGGAAUGCGUGGUGUAGCGGUGAAAUGCAUAGAUAUCACGCAGAACACCGAUUGCGAAGGCAGCUUACUAAGCUACAACUGACACUGUAGCACGAAAGCGUGGGGAUCAAACAGGAUUAGAUACCCGUGUAGUCC